RNAcentral lists this ribosomal RNA (631 nucleotides) under uncultured bacterium. RNAcentral describes it as "bacterial SSU rRNA". The stretch from base 1 to 532 matches the Rfam family "Bacterial small subunit ribosomal RNA", at positions 338 to 873 of the family's 1533-position model. The record is from RNAcentral.
CCUACGGGAGGCAGCAGUGAGGAAUAUUGGACAAUGGGCGCAAGCCUGAUCCAACCAUGCCGCGUGCAGGAAGACGGUCCUAUGGAUUGUAAACUGCUUUUAUACAGGAAGAAACACCUCUACGUGUAGAGACUUGACGGUACUGUAUGAAUAAGCAUCGGCUAACUCCGUGCCAGCAGCCGCGGUAAUACGGAGGAUGCAAGCGUUAUCCGGAAUCAUUGGGUUUAAAGGGUCCGUAGGCGGUUUAAUAAGUCAGUGGUGAAAGCCCAUCGCUCAACGAUGGAACGGCCAUUGAUACUGUUAAACUUGAAUUAUUAGGAAGUAACUAGAAUAUGUAGUGUAGCGGUGAAAUGCUUAGAGAUUACAUGGAAUACCAAUUGCGAAGGCAGGUUACUACUAAUAUAUUGACGCUGAUGGACGAAAGCGUGGGGAGCGAACAGGAUUAGAUACCCUGGUAGUCCACGCCGUAAACGAUGGAUACUAGCUGUUACGGAACAUCUGNGUGNGUAGAGAAGUAGAUAAGUAUACCACCGUACGGGAGGUACGUUCGCGAGAAGUAGAAACGUACGAAGUAGUAAGUUAGUACGGCGUAGAGACGUUACGCCGACGGACGACCGACGAGGGAGGAGGG